CUCUCCACUAUCCCUUGGCUAGGUCACUUGUGCAAGGCCCCCAUGCCCCUGAAGAUAAAGAUCUUCGUUUGGCAGCUUCUUAGAAAUCGCCUCCCUUCAGGGAUCGAGGUUCUCAAGCGACAGGGCCCGGGUUAUGGCCUCUGCCCUUUAUGCGUGGUCUCUGACACUAUGGCCCAUAACAUACUCUCGUGCACGGCGGCUCGUGUCCUUUGGUUGUUCGUCCGUGAGGCACUAGGGCCCGACUGGGAGGCCCUGGAUUUCGCGGACUUCCUUCAAGCCAGGGCUACCCUACGAGGACGACACCAUCGCAUAUUCUGGCUGAUCUUUGCGGCCAUGCCAUGGACUCUUUGGAUGACAGCAAAUAAAAUGGUGAUUGAGAGGGUGUUCCCGAGGCAGGCGUCUGACUCUUUGUUCAAAUUCCUUGCUUUUCUGCAGCAAUGGAUACUAGGCAGCAUGACCGUGAUCGUCUAG
This 471-nucleotide ribosomal RNA is filed under the name Triticum aestivum (bread wheat). RNAcentral describes it as "partial small subunit ribosomal RNA". Lineage: Eukaryota; Viridiplantae; Streptophyta; Magnoliopsida; Poales; Poaceae. The record is from RNAcentral.